This 187-nucleotide ribosomal RNA is filed under the name uncultured rumen bacterium. RNAcentral's name for it is "partial 16S ribosomal RNA". It matches the Rfam family "Bacterial small subunit ribosomal RNA", at positions 340 to 524 of the family's 1533-position model. The record is from RNAcentral.
UACGGGAGGCAGCAGUGAGGAAUAUUGGUCAAUGGGCGAGAGCCUGAACCAGCCAAGUAGCGUGCAGGACGACUGCCCUAUGGGUUGUAAACUGCUUUUAUCAGGGAAUAAAGUGCGGCACGUGUGCCGUUUUGUAUGUACCUGAUGAAUAAGGACCGGCUAAUUCCGUGCCAGCAGCCGCGGUAAU